This 250-nucleotide ribosomal RNA is filed under the name uncultured bacterium. RNAcentral describes it as "partial 16S ribosomal RNA". It matches the Rfam family "Bacterial small subunit ribosomal RNA", at positions 524 to 773 of the family's 1533-position model. The record is from RNAcentral.
UACGAAGGGGGCUAGCGUUGCUCGGAAUGACUGGGCGUAAAGGGCGCGUAGGCGGAUUGUACAGUCAGACGUGAAAUUCCUGGGCUCAACCUGGGGGCUGCGUUUGAUACGUAUAGUCUUGAGUGAGGAAGAGGGUUGUGGAAUUCCCAGUGUAGAGGUGAAAUUCGUAGAUAUUGGGAAGAACACCGGUGGCGAAGGCGGCAACCUGGUCCUUUACUGACGCUGAGGCGCGAAAGCGUGGGGAGCAAAC